Molecule: ribosomal RNA, 465 nt
Filed under: Vreelandella stevensii
Lineage: Bacteria; Pseudomonadati; Pseudomonadota; Gammaproteobacteria; Oceanospirillales; Halomonadaceae
Description: partial 16S ribosomal RNA
Rfam family: Bacterial small subunit ribosomal RNA
Source: RNAcentral
CCUACGGGCGGCAGCAGUGGGGAAUAUUGGACAAUGGGGGGAACCCUGAUCCAGCCAUGCCGCGGGUGUGAAGAAGGCCCUCGGGUUGUAAAGCACUUUCAGUGAGGAAGAACGCCUGGUGGUUAAUACCCAUCAGGAAAGACAUCACUCACAGAAGAAGCACCGGCUAACUCCGUGCCAGCAGCCGCGGUAAUACGGAGGGUGCGAGCGUUAAUCGGAAUUACUGGGCGUAAAGCGCGCGUAGGUGGCUUGAUAAGCCGGUUGUGAAAGCCCCGGGCUCAACCUGGGAACGGCAUCCGGAACUGUCAAGCUAGAGUGCAGGAGAGGAAGGUAGAAUUCCCGGUGUAGCGGUGAAAUGCGUAGAGAUCGGGAGGAAUACCAGUGGCGAAGGCGGCCUUCUGGACUGACACUGACACUGAGGUGCGAAAGCGUGGGUAGCAAACAGGAUUAGAUACCCCGGUAGUC